RNAcentral lists this ribosomal RNA (300 nucleotides) under uncultured bacterium. RNAcentral describes it as "bacterial SSU rRNA". The stretch from base 1 to 248 matches the Rfam family "Bacterial small subunit ribosomal RNA", at positions 114 to 358 of the family's 1533-position model. The record is from RNAcentral.
CGCGUAUAGAAUCUGCCUUGUACAGGAGGAUAGCCUUUAGAAAUGAAGAUUAAUACUCCAUAAUAUUGAGAAGUGGCAUCGCUUUUUAAUUAAACAUUAUGGGUACGAAGAUGACUAUGCGUCCUAUUAGCUAGAUGGUAAGGUAACGGCUUACCAUGGCAACGAUAGGUAGGGGGUCGUGAGAGGAUUAUCCCCACCACUGGUACUGAGACACGGACCGAGACUCCUACCGGGAGGGCAGCAGUGAGGGAAGUAAUUGGUUCGAAUAGGAGGGCGAACUACUUGAACCAACGCCACUGC